UACGGGGGGUGCAAGCGUUGCUCGGAAUUAUUGGGCGUAAAGCGUACGCAGGCGGCUCAGCAAGUCGAGUGUGAAAACCCGGGGCUCAACCCCGGACGUGCAUUCGAAACUGUCGAGCUUGAGUGCGGGAGAGGGAAGCGGAAUUCCUGGUGUAGAGGUGAAAUUCGUAGAUAUCAGGAGGAACACCGGUGGCGAAAGCGGCUUCCGGGGCCGAUAUUGACUUUCAAGUACGAAAGCGUGGGGAGCAAACAGG
Molecule: ribosomal RNA, 253 nt
Filed under: uncultured bacterium
Lineage: Bacteria
Description: partial 16S ribosomal RNA
Rfam family: Bacterial small subunit ribosomal RNA
Source: RNAcentral